AUGCCCGGUGGAGACAUAUACCUGCCUUUUAAGUUUGGGUGCCUCACCUUCACUCAUGAUCUGUGGCAAGUCCGUCGGCCAUCUGCCCGUACAAUCAAGCCAGAGAUACCAGAAAAUUAUGAUGGAAGAUUGAACCCGGCAGAGUUCCUGAGCGUCUACACCAUCGUUGUUCAAGCCGCCAGAGGAAGAUAUGAGAAGGUAUUCGCCAACUACUUCACUUUGGCACUCAAGCCAAACGUGAGGUCAUGGCUGAUGCACCUGCCUGAGAACUCCAUCUCGACCUGGGCUGACCUGCGCCAUGAAUUUGCUAGCACCUUCGCGGGCGGCCAUCAAGAACCAGGGUGGCCCAGCGACUUACAUAUCUCCAACAGAAGGAAGGAGAUAGUUUGCGGAAGUACAUGUAGAGGUUCAACAGGGUGCACAUGA
This 426-nucleotide ribosomal RNA is filed under the name Triticum aestivum (bread wheat). RNAcentral's name for it is "partial small subunit ribosomal RNA". The record is from RNAcentral. Lineage: Eukaryota; Viridiplantae; Streptophyta; Magnoliopsida; Poales; Poaceae.